GGCCAAUUGGCGAAAUGGUAUCGCGUCAGAUUUCGGUCCCAUCGGUUCCGAUCUUUCAAUCUCUGAAGAUUGCAGGUUCGAAUCCUGCAUUGGUCG
Xylariales sp. PMI_506 is the source of this 96-nucleotide non-coding RNA. NCBI's taxonomy places the organism in Eukaryota, Fungi, Ascomycota, Sordariomycetes, Xylariales. The record is from the annotation of a GenBank genome assembly.